Molecule: ribosomal RNA, 1063 nt
Filed under: uncultured bacterium
Lineage: Bacteria
Description: bacterial SSU rRNA
Rfam family: Bacterial small subunit ribosomal RNA
Source: RNAcentral
CCAAACUCAUACGGGAGCCAGCAUUGAGGAAUAUUCGUCAAUGGACGAGAGUCUGCACCAGCCAAGUACCGUGAACAAUGACUGCCCUAUAGGUAAUAAACUUCUCUUAUACGGGAAUAAAGUUAGCCACGAGAGGCUUGUUGUAAUUACCGUAUGAAUAAGGAUCGGCUAACUCCGCACCAGCAGCCGCGGUAAUACGGAGGAUCCGAGCGUCUCAGGAUUUAUGGGUAAAAGGGAGCGUAGGCGGGUCGUAUCUCAGUGAGAAAGUUGCGUCUCAUCCGUAAAAUUGCAGUUGAUACUCACGACCUAUGAGUGCAACAGACGUAGGCGGAAAUUCGGGGGUGAAGCGGAGAAAAGGCUAAGAUAUCUCGAAGAACUCGGAUUUCGAAGACAUGCUUACCGGAUUGCAACUGACUAGGAUGUUCGAAAGCUGGGGUAUCAAUCAGGAUUAGAUACCUAGAUAGUCCACACAGAAAAGGAAGAAUACUCGUCGUUGGCGAUAUACAGUCAGCGGUCCAGUGCAAGCACUAACUAUUACUCCUGAGGAGUACGCCCGCAACGGUGAAACUCAAAGGAAUGGACGGGGGCCAGCACAAGCGGAGGAACAUGAGGUCUUAUUUGAUGAUUCGCGAGGCACAUUACCCCGGUCUAAAAACCAUCUGACUGAACCGGAAACGGUUCGAUCAUGGGACAGCCCAGAAGGCGAUGUACGGCAGUCGUCAGUUCGGGCCGAGUGGGGCCGGUGUAAGAGUCACAACGAGCGCAAUCAUCAUCGCUAUCUAGUAGCAGAUCAUGGUGAGGACUGUACGGAGACCCCCCUCGUAUGAAGUGAGGAAGGAGGGGAUGAUGUCAAAUCAGCAUGGCCGGUAUCUCCGGGGCUACACACGGGUUACAAAGGGGGGUACAGAAGGCAGUUACACGGGGAGUCGGCGUUAAUCACGAAAGCCUCUCUCAGUUUGGACAGGAGUCUGCCACCGGUCUGCAGGAAAAGGUAUUCGUUAGUAAUCGAGCAUCAGGCACGGGGCGGGGAACCAGUUCUCGGCCCGAGCCCACAACGACCUUC